UCCACCCCCAGACACACACGACUCCAGAGACAAUCCGGGUCGGGGUUUCCAGAGCGCCUGAACUUAUCCGAGAUCCCUCGCCCCACUUGAUGGACUGGCCUCCGUUCUUGGUCUCUCCUUGCAUUUCCUCGGUUUUUUCAGAGAAAGAAGAAGAAAAUGCUGCAGAAGCCGUUGGCUCGCUGCGUCUGCGCGUGGAAUUCCCCCCAUUUUUCGCUAUCUAGGGAAAGGAAUGCCCUACUUGUUUCCUUUAGUCUCUCAGGGGCCAUACUUUGUUUCUCUACCAAAUCCCUAAACCCUAAAAAACUCUCUCUUUCUGCUCGAAGAGCCACCACGCGUGAAGUGUCUACGGCAAAUCAGGAUAAGGAGACCUCUCCACUCCUAGUCAAAUCACCCUGGUUUGGAUUUCUGGCUCCACCAUCAGUGAUGGCAGAUGAAAACCAACCAACACUAUUUCCUAGAUCUUCAGCAGUGAUCAAUUGUGUGAGUGAGGCUUCUUAUUCUUUUGUGAAUUCAAGAUCUUCUAACCUGUCUACUUGCAUUAACCUAUUGAGAAAAGCUACAGAUACAGGACAACUUAAGGAUGGCAAGAUGGUGCAUGCUCAUAUGUUGAGAACAAGGUUGGAAGUUUGCCUAGUUGGAGCAAACACUCUUAUCAAUUUCUAUGCCAAGUGUGGUUUCAUGGCUUUUGCAUCCCAAGUUUUUUAUGGAAUGCAUGAGAAGAAUGUUGUGUCUUGGUGCUCAUUGAUGGCUGGGUACUUGCAUAAUGGGCACGCAAGAGAAGUACUAACUCUGUUUGAGAUUAUGGUAGUUGAUGGAUUGAAGCCUAAUCAUUUUGUUCUUUCGAUGGUUCUUCGGUCAUGUUCGACUCUGAUGGACUUCAGCAGAGGGAAACAACUCCAUGCAUAUGCACUGAAGCAUGGUUUUAUAUCAUAUAUGUAUGUUCAGAAUGCAAUUCUUGUCAUGUAUUGCAAGAGUGGUGGUUUGGAAGAGUCCUUAAAAUUCUAUCAUGGAAUGAAAGAACAGGAUGUUUCAUCAUCUAAUGUCAUGAUUUCAGCUUUUUUAAAGCAUGGUUGUCAUGUUGAGGCUCUAGAAUUCCUUAGGAGGUCACUUGUGAACCAUAAGGGUUGGGAUGAUAUUGCACAUGUCACUGCUCUUAAUUUAUGUUCUUGCAUGAACUAUUUAAGGCUAGGACAAGAAGUCCAUAAUCAGAUUUUGAAGGCUCAUAAGGAACUUAAUGUUUUUGUUGGUUCUGCUCUUGUCGAUAUGUAUGGAAAGUGUGGUAAAUUUGAAUAUGCUUGUAAAAUUUUUGAACUUUUGAGUCAUCGGAACGUUGUGCUCUGGACAGCGCUUACUGCAGCUUAUGCUCAAAAUGGGCUUUUUGAAGAAGCUCUGAGUCUUCUGUCUGAUAUGUGCUUUGAAGGUGUUCAACCAAAUGAAUUUACAUAUGCUGCAUUAUUGAAUUCUUGUGCAUGCUUAGCAGCUUUAGAUCAUGGAACUCAGCUGCACUCUCUUGCCAAGAAGAUGGGUUAUAGCAUGUGCUUGCCUGUUGGAAAUGCAUUGAUCAACAUGUACUCAAAGAGUGGCAAUAUUGGGUAUGCACGCAAGGUCUUUGACUGUAUGGCUAAUAGAGAUGUGAUUUCAUGGAAUUCAAUGAUUUCAGGUUAUUCCCAACAUGGUCUUGGGGAACAAGCUUUGCAGAUAUUUCACCAUAUGCUUUUGACUGAUAAAGCUCCAACUCAUGUUACCUUUGUUGGGGUCCUAAGUGCUUGUGGUCAUAUCGGCCUUGUAAAUGAGGGUUUCUAUUAUUUUAAUCGUUUGAUGAAAAAAUUUAAUGUCGUCCCUGGUGUCGAGCACUAUACCUGCAUGGUUGGUCUUCUGGGUAGAGCUGGGUUGUUUGAUGAGGCUUAUUCUCUUAUCAAAUCAAUGCCUAUUCAUUGUGAUGUGGUUGUGUGGAGGACUCUUCUUAAUGCCUGCCAAGUUUACAAGAAUGCAAAUUUAGGAAAGAAAAUUGCAGGUCUGAUCCUUCAAACUUAUCCAGAUGAUGCAGGAACUUACAUACUUCUAUCAAAUAUUUAUGCUAAAUCAACAAGAUGGACUGAAGUGACUGAGAUACGAGAGAAAAUGAAGGCCAAGCAUGUCAAGAAAGAACCAGGAGUAAGCUGGAUACAGGUGCAAAAUUGCACCCAUGUUUUUGUUUCAAAGGAUAGAGAGCAUCCACAAUUGCAUCAGAUACAUGAGAAACUGGCUGAGGUAUUGGCUGAGAUAAGAGUUGUGGGAUAUGUUCCUGACAUGGCCAGUGUCUUGCAUGAUGUUGAUGAUGAACAGAAAGAAGAAUGCCUUAGGUAUCAUAGUGAAAAGCUGGCUGUAUCUUUUGGUCUCAUAAGCAGUCCUCCUGGAGCAACUAUCCGCAUCUUCAAGAACCUUCGUGUUUGUGAUGAUUGUCAUGUUGCAAUGAAGUUUAUUUCUGUUACCACAAAGCGGGAAAUAAUACUUAGAGAUGCAAAUAGGUUCCACUCAUUUAGUCAUGGAAUUUGUUCCUGUGGGGAUUAUUGGUAAUUAUCUGGUGGUCAUUUAUAGUGUGGUAAGUACAUGAAGGCGCUAACCAAGAAGAGAGGAAUAUUCAUCUUACAAAUGUGUGGUAUCAAUUUGAGAAGAACCACAAUCUUACCCAUAAAGCAAAUGAAAUGGGUUUUGGAAUUUUGGACUACCUAGCACUCAACUACAACUACCUGCAAACUUGCUUCUAUUUCUCACUUCUGAUACAUUUCUAGUUUGCAUCACAUCCCUAGCAGUGGUGUGAGCUUGCCGCGUAUCAACACGACAUGGGCUAUCCGAAGCGGCGUCGAUCCUGUUCGAAGAUAGAAGCUAUUCGAACCUCCGCAAGAUGGAAGCACUUUUGACGAUUUCCUGAAUGUGGCCCUUAGAUGUACCUCCCUGUCCUCAAGUGUAGGACUAGAAUUUCAGCUUAUACAAGGGGCGAGCAAUGGAACCAUGGACACUUUAGUGAGAUAUAUUACAGGAAAGUCACGGGCAACUGAGGUGGCUCAUGCGUAGCAUAUUGUGCAGAGAGGAGAUACUGCAAUUGAUGCUACUUGUGGCAACGGCUUUGACACAUUGGCAUUGCUGAAAAUGGUGUCAGAUGAGUCAAGGAAUGGUUGUGUCCUUGGUUUGGAUGUGCAGCAGUCUGCUCUUG
Molecule: RNA transcript, 3193 nt
Organism: Nymphaea colorata (pocket water lily)
Lineage: Eukaryota; Viridiplantae; Streptophyta; Magnoliopsida; Nymphaeales; Nymphaeaceae
Exons: 5
Source: RefSeq, a predicted model, not a curated record